GGUUAAGCGACUAAGCGUACACGGUGGAUGCCCUGGCAGUCAGAGGCGAUGAAGGACGUGCUAAUCUGCGAAAAGCGUCGGUAAGGUGAUAUGAACCGUUACAGCCGGCGAUGUCCGAAUGGGGAAACCCAGUGUGAUUCGUCACACUAUCGUUAACUGAAUACAUAGGUUAACGAGGCGAACCGGGGGAACUGAAACAUCUAAGUACCCCGAGGAAAAGAAAUCAACCGAGAUUCCCCCAGUAGCGGCGAGCGAACGGGGAGCAGCCCAGAGUCUGAAUCAGCUUGUGUGUUAGUGGAACGGUCUGGAAAGUCCGACGGUACAGGGUGAUAGUCCCGUACACCAAAAUGCACAGGUUGUGAACUCGAAGAGUAGGGCGGGACACGUGGUAUCCUGUCUGAAUAUGGGGGGACCAUCCUCCAAGGCUAAAUACU
This 434-nucleotide ribosomal RNA is filed under the name Klebsiella pneumoniae. RNAcentral's name for it is "partial 23S ribosomal RNA". It matches the Rfam family "Bacterial large subunit ribosomal RNA", at positions 1 to 474 of the family's 2925-position model. RNAcentral also lists the same sequence under 1 other name. The record is from RNAcentral. Lineage: Bacteria; Pseudomonadati; Pseudomonadota; Gammaproteobacteria; Enterobacterales; Enterobacteriaceae.